GUGCAAACACUAGUUUAUUAAAGGUUCAAUUGAACAUAAAAUAAAAGUUUUGUAUUCAAUUAAACAAAAUGUAACGUGAAUGGCUCAAUUGCACAUUUCCCACAAGUAUUCAUAUGCAUUAAGCCAAAAUAAAUCUGACCACGAAAUUUCAUCAUAUGGAGUCUCUAACCUCUCAUUCGACAAAUGACAACAAUAUCUAAAAUCAAUUCCAGUCACCAUUUCUAACUCUGAUUCACUGCAACAUUCAGAUUCCCAUAUCUUUGCAUCACUCUCCUAGUCGCAAGGGCCGCAGCUUCACUUGCACGCAAUGUACCAGUAGCCAUGAUUGCAGCAAAUUCACGACUGAUCUCCUCCUGCACCUUGCUCCGAGCAUCCCCAAAAGUGUCGCCUGCAACCCCAUUGAUCGACUGCCUCUCUACUCUUGAAGGUUUGACAGCAGGAGGUACUGCCUUCUCUGAUACUGUUUUCUCCUCAGACUUGGUGUCUUCAGAUUUUACCUCCUCAUUGCUCACACUAACAACUGUGUGUGUGGAUGCACUAGGACCAUUAACUGAGGAUUUAUGAACAGCUAUUGAUGACUGAGGCCUGAAUUGCGGAGCUUGUGGGACAGCUCCAGCUCUCAAUGUUGUCUCUAGAUUUUGUAUCAUUGGCACUGCAAUUCAAAAUACCAAGCUAGAUAAUCAACCACUAAAACAAACGAUGAAAAGUAUGACUGUUAAUCACUGGAAUUUACCAAACCAUUGGACAAUCUAUCAGAAUUCAUAAUGACAAUGUCCAUACAAGUUGAUAAAAUUUUAAGUUCCAGAAAGUAUUACAGAAUUCAGAAAUCAGUAGACCAAUUUGCUUAUUUUAAACAACAGCGAAAAGAUAAAUUCUCUCAUCCAAAAAUCAUUUGCUGUAGUAUUUGCUUAGCCAUCAAGAAAAAAUUCAGAAUCAAGAUUAUUCAUUUAAAAUCAGGAAAAAACUAGAAUACAGUAAAAAGCAUUAGAAAGUAAUCCAUAUUUCCAUACUACAGAUAAAUAAAGCGAUAUAGGCAAAAAGUAAAGGUUGGUGGCAACUCACUUAUAAGAGCACCCAUUGGACUGCUCAUAACUUCAUUAGGGAGCUGAAGAAUAUAUUCUGGAAUGGUUGCACCCACCAAAAAUUGUGCAACCUCAUUGCUGAAGUUGUUACAAUUGUUAGUAAGCAAACUGUAUGUUUCAGCAGUAUAGCGGGGGCUAAUUUCCUGCAAAUACACCUCAAAAACAUCUUUUGGUACAUGUGUGAUGCCCAAAUCUACCACUUUAAUUGGUGUUCCAUAUGGAGUUCUUCCAGCAGGGUCAUGCUGUAUGCCUCCCCCAAAAUAGUAUUCAUUACCAUAUACCACUACUCCUGUGUGCCUACCAUACAAGAACAAAUAACUCAGACUGCAAAUAAGAAAAAGGAACAGAAUAAUUAACUGCUAUGAACCUUGUAGGUUUUAAUGGCACAACAUGAAGGAAACAUGUUAACAACCUUUGAAAGUAAUAAUCUUAGUAACUUCAGUAAAUAAAAGUUGGAUUUUAGCCUGUUUCGACACACUAUGAUGUUGAUCUUAUUGACAACUUACUUUGACCCAGGAAUAUAUCUUCAUAAAGCAAAAGGACACAGGACAACAGAACUAAAAUUAAGAUCAUACACACUCUACAUCUCAAUUAAAUGCCACACAAUGCUUCCUAGUUGGAUAGGACAAGAAAAAUAAAAAGUAGAACAUGCCCAUAAACAACAUAGAGACCCAAUAAGAAUAAUUUUGGGAAGCACAAAGGAGGUUACUCCUGUGGCCCCGCUAGGCGGUGGGAGGACCUUGAGAGUAAUGUAUUCUAAGUAGAGAAGCUAAUUGGUUGGAACAUCCCUCAACAUGGUUACUGUAAAGUAAACAUAAAUGCUUUCAGGCUUGUUUGGGAAUACCUACACCUAGUGGCCUUAUUGGAGACCAUAUGCGAGCUUCUAUCUAUCCAGAACUGUAAUUGAGUCCAAGUUGAGUUGUGGAGGGUCUUCCAAGGCUUAUCUUGCAUGGGAUAAAGAAUGUAGGAGUUAUUUUGGAGAUUGAUAGCUCAAGUGUUGUUACUGUGUUGAAGAAAGCCAACUACAAUACUACGUUGCUAACUACAAUACUACAUUGCUAAGGAAUAAGCUUGGUGAGAAGUUAACCUAAAUAGUCUAUUCCUCACAUGGUUCAACCUUAGCGCCUCAUGGUGCUCAACAAUUUAUACCAAUUGAUAUCAGAGCUAACUUCAUCUUGCAAGACUUGACAAAUGGUGGCUUAUAAAAAGAUGGCUCACGAAAUAGUGGCCUAAACUUAUUGUGUAAGGAAAUGAGUAGGGUGCUAGGGUGCUAGCUGUGACUGUAAUCAACAUGGGUGAAUUCUACCUAAAUGGCCUAUUCCUCACAUGGUUCAAUCUUAAUAACUCGUGAUGCUCAAUAGUUCAUAUCACAUGGUUCGGUAAAUAGAAUUCAUCAGCUGCUGUACAAAAAUUGGGAGGCUGAUAUUAGGCAAAGCUAAAGAGAAAUGAGUAAGCAGACAAGUUAGCCAACCAAAAAGUGUACUUUCCACCAUGCCUUCAUGCACUUCAUCAACCCCAUGCUUAUGGAUGGCAUUAAGAGAUGUAGCUCUUCCUAGAAUUGUGCCUGUAGUUUACAUCACGGCUUUAGCCCCCAUUUGCAAGAUUAGCCUUUCUUCUAGUCUAUUUAGAUAAAAGCCUGUCCAGCUAAUAAAAGUACAGGUUAGCCUCACUGACAUUCCAUAGCAGUGACGCGUUUUCUCGUUUUUUUUUGUUUCAGGCUAACCAACUCAUAAGCAUACUUGUUCACACAGUAAAUUUGCAUAGUGUGAACAUACUGCCAAUCUCUGCCUAUAAUAAACUUUUGAUCUAGGAGCCUUUAAUUUCUAAUGGGGUGUGCAUGUGUGUAACGCGAUUUAGUAAGUUAUGCACAUAUUCAAGUGUUAACAAGGAGUGUUUGUAUUAAGUGUUUAGCUUACCCUAGAAAUUUCUUUGCAAUCCUAUAAAUAUGUAAUUUGGAAUUUUAUAGUGAUAAUGAAUAAUAUACUUCUUUCUCAAAUUUAAGUUUCUGGAUCUAAAACUUGUGAUUGUGGCCAUCAAGGUUUAGUUGAGUGCUCCUUUUUAUUCCUAUUCACUGCAACAACUUUUAAACUCAAAUAACAAUAUUCGAUGGAUACAGAUAAUGAUGGCAAAUGGCAUAGGUUUGACUUUCCAGAUUUCUAGAUGCAAAUAUACCAUAUCCAGACACUAGGCCUUCGUUUUCCUCCCUGUACUGAAAACUUACCAAAUUCCCUCAACAGCUUUACCCAAAAAUGUCGUUGAAAGCUGGCGUGCCAAUCCUUGGCUGAGAUCAUACACAUUCAAGGUAACCCUGUGACCCUCCUGCCACCAGUUUAAAUUUACAAGCAGUAAUCAACACAUUACUGAAAAUGCCACUGGGAGUCAAUUACUAGUACAUCAUGCAGAGACUCAAAAUUUUAUGAUAUAACAGCAUUGCAUACCUCCGCCAUCUCCCAAUAAAUAAACUUCAACUACAAGUCCUUAGCAACGUAAAAGAUUUAUCAACCGAUAACGAUGGUCUCUCCAAAUCUCAGAGAAUAAAAUAUGGCCUUCGGCUUCGGGAAACUUAAGAAUUGUUCGCGCAAACGCAGGCCAUCAAACAGGCAACCUUCUCCUUUUAUAAUUGGGAAAAGGGCCCCCAAAGGCUCUCUACAACGACUUCGGC
Molecule: unclassified non-coding RNA, 3744 nt
Filed under: Hevea brasiliensis (rubber tree)
Lineage: Eukaryota; Viridiplantae; Streptophyta; Magnoliopsida; Malpighiales; Euphorbiaceae
Source: RNAcentral